Molecule: ribosomal RNA, 115 nt
Filed under: Acanthosepion pharaonis
Lineage: Eukaryota; Metazoa; Mollusca; Cephalopoda; Sepiida; Sepiidae
Source: RNAcentral
UUACGGCCAUAUCACGCUGAACACACCGGUUCUCGUCCGAUCACCGAAGUUAAGCAACGUCGAGCCUGGUCAGUACUUGGAUGGGUGACCGCUUGGGAAUACCAGGUGCUGUAAG